GCUUACGGCCACACCGCCUGCUUCACGCCCGAUCUCGUUUGAUCUCGGAAGCUAAGAUAGGUGGGCCUGGUUAGUACUUGGAUGGGAGACCGCCUGGGAAUACCAGGUGCUGUACUUU
Molecule: ribosomal RNA, 118 nt
Filed under: Scophthalmus maximus (turbot)
Lineage: Eukaryota; Metazoa; Chordata; Actinopteri; Pleuronectiformes; Scophthalmidae
Source: RNAcentral